GAUGGGCAUGCGAACCAUUAGCUGGUUGGUAGGGUAACGGCCUACCAGGGUUACGAUGUUUAGGGGACCUGAGAGGGUUAUCCCCCACACUGGUACUGAGACACGGACCAGACUCCUACGGGAGGCAGCAGUGAGGAAUAUUGGUCAAUGGGCGCAAGCCUGAACCAGCCAUCCCGCGUGAAGGAAGAAGGCGCUAUGCGUUGUAAACUUCUUUUCCAGGGGGAGAAUUUUCCGGUCGUGACCGGGAUUGACGGUACUCUGGGAAUAAGCAUCGGCUAACUCCGUGCCAGCAGCCGCGGUAAUACGGAGGAUGCGAGCGUUAUCCGGAUUUAUUGGGUUUAAAGGGUGCGUAGGCGGAUCAAUAAGUCAGUGGUGAAAUUCUGCAGCUUAACUGUAGACUUGCCAUUGAUACUGUUGGUCUUGAGUAUGGUCAAGGUAGGCGGAAUGUGUAAUGUAGCGGUGAAAUGCUUAGAUAUUACACAGAACACCGAUUGCGAAGGCAGCUUGCUGGGCCAAUACUGACGCUGAUGCACGAAAGCGUGGGGAUCGAACAGGAUUAGAUACCCUGGUAGUCCACGCCGUAAA
RNAcentral lists this ribosomal RNA (585 nucleotides) under uncultured bacterium. RNAcentral describes it as "bacterial SSU rRNA". It matches the Rfam family "Bacterial small subunit ribosomal RNA", at positions 224 to 806 of the family's 1533-position model. The record is from RNAcentral.